ACCCUCGAUAGCUCAGUUGUC
This 21-nucleotide microRNA is filed under the name Cordylochernes scorpioides. Lineage: Eukaryota; Metazoa; Arthropoda; Arachnida; Pseudoscorpiones; Chernetidae. The record is from RNAcentral.